RNAcentral lists this unclassified non-coding RNA (217 nucleotides) under fungal sp. Its description in RNAcentral is "partial internal transcribed spacer region". The stretch from base 1 to 46 matches the Rfam family "Eukaryotic small subunit ribosomal RNA", at positions 1786 to 1831 of the family's 1831-position model. Lineage: Eukaryota; Fungi. The record is from RNAcentral.
AAGUCGUAACAAGGUUUCCGUAGGUGAACCUGCGGAAGGAUCAUUAACAAAUCUUGGUGUGAUCCUGGCAGCUAAUGCUGCUAGGUCACAACACAUUGACUCGGGCCUUGACACGCAGUGUCGGGGCCUUGAGACAUUCGCGCUUGUUGUGUUUGACUGUUUCGUAUAUAUUACUUUAAGGAAUAGACAACUUUUAACAAUGGAUCUCUUGGCUCUU